RNAcentral lists this ribosomal RNA (488 nucleotides) under uncultured bacterium. Its description in RNAcentral is "partial 16S ribosomal RNA". It matches the Rfam family "Bacterial small subunit ribosomal RNA", at positions 29 to 523 of the family's 1533-position model. The record is from RNAcentral.
AACGAACGCUGGCGGCGUGGAUAAGACAUGCAAGUCGAACGGAGUUAGAUGUGUAGCAAUACAUAGCUAGCUUAGUGGCGAACGGGUGCGUAACACGUGAGCAAUCUGCCGGGAAGUGGGGGAUAGCUCGCCGAAAGGCGAAUUAAUACCGCAUGUGGCUAGAGGAGACAUCUCCUCGACGCCAAAGUCGCAAGACGCUUCCUGAUGAGCUCGCGGCCUAUCAGCUAGUUGGUGAGGUAACGGCUCACCAAGGCGAUGACGGGUAGCUGGUCUGAGAGGACGACCAGCCACACUGGAACUGAGACACGGUCCAGACACCUACGGGUGGCAGCAGUCGAGAAUUUUUCACAAUGGGGGAAACCCUGAUGGAGCGACGCCGCGUGGAGGAUGAAGGUCUUCGGAUUGUAAACUCCUGUCAUGCGAGAACAAGAAAGUGAUAGUAUCGCAAGAGGAAGAGACGGCUAACUCUGUGCCAGCCGCCGCGGUAA